RNAcentral lists this ribosomal RNA (1325 nucleotides) under Acidimicrobiia bacterium. RNAcentral's name for it is "partial 23S ribosomal RNA". It matches the Rfam family "Bacterial large subunit ribosomal RNA", at positions 1616 to 2925 of the family's 2925-position model. Lineage: Bacteria; Bacillati; Actinomycetota; Acidimicrobiia. The record is from RNAcentral.
AACCUCUAGUGAGUCACAGGGUGCCCGUACCCCAAACCGACACAGGUGGACAGGUAGAGAAUACCAAGGCGAGCGAGUUAACUCUGGUUAAGGAAUUCGGCAAAUUAGCCCCGUAACUUCGGGAGAAGGGGCGCCCCGGUAGGGUGUAGGACUUCGCGUCUGAAGCCCGAGGGGGCCGCAGUGACCAGACCCAAGCGACUGUUUACUAAAAACACAGCACGGUGCUAAGUCGCAAGACGAUGUAUACCGUGUGACGCCUGCCCGGUGCUGGAAGGUUAAGUGGAGAGGUUAGCCCUCGGGCGAAGCUUUGAAACUAAGCCCCAGUAAACGGCGGCCGUAACUAUAACGGUCCUAAGGUAGCGAAAUUCCUUGUCGGGUAAGUUCCGACCUGCACGAAUGGCGUAACGACUUGGGUACUGUCUCAACCAGAGACUCGGUGAAAUUGCAGUGUGAGUAAAGAUGCUCACUACCUGCGGCAGGACGGAAAGACCCCGGAACCUUUACUCUAGUUUGACAUUGGAGUCUGGCGUUCGAUGUGUAGGAUAGGUGGGAGCCUGGGAAGCGGUGGCGCCAGCCAUCGUGGAGGCAACGUUGAAAUACCACCCUUCGCUCGACGGCCUUCUAACCUCGGUCCGUUAUCCGGAUCAGGGACAGUGUCUGAUGGGGAGUUUCACUGGGGCGGUGGCCUCCUAAAGCGUAACGGAGGCGCCCAAAGGUUCCCUCAGUCUGGUCGGCAAUCAGACGUUGAGUGUAAAUGCACAAGGGAGCUUGACUGCGAGACUUACAAGUCGAGCAGGGACGAAAGUCGGGAUUAGUGAUCCCAUGGCGGCAUGUGGGUGCGCCAUGGCCAACGGCUAAAAGGUACUCCGGGGAUAACAGGCUUAUACCCCCCAAGAGUCCAUAUCGACGGGGGUGUUUGGCACCUCGAUGUCGGCUCGUCGCAUCCUGGGGCUGGAGCAGGUCCCAAGGGUCCGGCUGUUCGCCGGUUAAAGCGGCACGCGAGCUGGGUUUAGAACGUCGUGAGACAGUUCGGUCCCUAUCCGCCGCAGGCGCAGGAGAUUUGAGAGGAGCUGUCCCUAGUACGAGAGGACCGGGAUGGACGUACCACUGGUGUGCCAGUUGUCCUGCCAAGGGCACGGCUGGUUGGCUAUGUACGGACGGGAUAAGCGCUGAAGGCAUCUAAGUGCGAAGCCCACCUCGAGAUGAGAUCUCCCACGGGGUUAACCCGGUAAGGCCCCUGGUAGAAGACCAGGUUGAUAGGCCGGAUGUGUACGUGCAGCAAUGCAUUCAGCAGACCGGUACUAAUAGGCCGAGGGCUUGGAUUU